This 485-nucleotide ribosomal RNA is filed under the name uncultured bacterium. RNAcentral's name for it is "partial 16S ribosomal RNA". It matches the Rfam family "Bacterial small subunit ribosomal RNA", at positions 28 to 523 of the family's 1533-position model. The record is from RNAcentral.
GACGAACGCUGGCGGCGUGCUUAACACAUGCAAGUCGAACGAUGAAAGCUGGAGCUUGCUCCGGCUGGAUUAGUGGCGAACGGGUGAGUAACACGUGAGCAAUCUGCCCUUGACUCUGGGAUAACUCCGAGAAAUCGGUGCUAAUACCGGAUAUGACCCUUGGCGGCAUCGCUGGGGGUGGAAAGUUUUUCGGUCAAGGAUGAGCUCGCGGCCUAUCAGCUUGUUGGUGAGGUAAUGGCUCACCAAGGCGACGACGGGUAGCCGGCCUGAGAGGGUGACCGGCCACACUGGGACUGAGACACGGCCCAGACUCCUACGGGAGGCAGCAGUGGGGAAUAUUGCACAAUGGGCGCAAGCCUGAUGCAGCAACGCCGCGUGGGGGAUGACGGCCUUCGGGUUGUAAACCUCUUUUAGCAGGGAAGAAGCGAAAGUGACGGUACCUGCAGAAAAAGCACCGGCUAACUACGUGCCAGCCGCCGCAGUAA